AACGAACGCUGGCGGCAUGCCUAACACAUGCAAGUCGAACGAGACCUUCGGGCCUAGUGGCGCACGGGUGCGUAACGCGUGGUAACCUGCCCUUAGGUUCGGAAUACUUCCCCGAAAGGGGUCCUAAUACCGGUUAAUGUCUUCGGACCAAAGAUUUAUCGCCUUUGGAUGGGCCCGCGUUGGAUUAGCUGGUUGGUAGGGUAAAAGCCUACCAAGGCGACGUUCCAUAGCUGGUCUGAGAGGAUGAUCAGCCACACUGGGACUGAGACACGGCCCAGACUCCUACGGGAGGCAGCAGUGGGGAAUAUUGGACAAUGGGCGAAAGCCUGAUCCAGCAGUGCCGCGUGAGUGAUGAAGGCCUUAGGGUUGUAAAGCUCUUUUACCCGGGAUGAUAAUGACAGUACCGGGAGAAUAAGCUCCGGCUAACUCCGUG
This 433-nucleotide ribosomal RNA is filed under the name uncultured bacterium. RNAcentral's name for it is "partial 16S ribosomal RNA". It matches the Rfam family "Bacterial small subunit ribosomal RNA", at positions 29 to 507 of the family's 1533-position model. The record is from RNAcentral.